UGCCAGACUCCUACGGGAGGCAGCAGUGGGGAAUAUUGCACAGUGGGGGAAACCCUGAUGCAGCGACGCCGCGUGAGUGAAGAAGUAAUUCGUUAUGUAAAGCUCUAUCAGCAGGGAAGAAAAUGACGGUACCUGAGUAAGAAGCCCCGGCUAACUACGUGCCAGCAGCCGCGGUAAUACGUAGGGGGCAAGCGUUAUCCGGAUUCACUGGGUGUAAAGGGAGCGUAGACGGCCAUGCAAGCCUGGAGUGAAAGCCCGGGGCCCAACCCCGGGACUGCUCUGGGAACUGUGCGGCUGGAGUGCGGGAGGGGCAGGCGGAAUUCCUGGUGUAGCGGUGAAAUGCGUAGAUAUCAGGAGGAACACCGGCGGCGAAGGCGGCCUGCUGGACCGCGACUGACGUUGAGGCUCGAAAGCGUGGGGAGCAAACAGGAUUAGAUACCCCCGUAA
RNAcentral lists this ribosomal RNA (447 nucleotides) under uncultured bacterium. RNAcentral describes it as "bacterial SSU rRNA". It matches the Rfam family "Bacterial small subunit ribosomal RNA", at positions 329 to 793 of the family's 1533-position model. The record is from RNAcentral.